GAUGAACGCUGGCGGCGUGCUUAAUACAUGCAAGUCGAACGGAGUAUGUAGCGAUAUAUACUUAGUGGCGAACGGGUGAGUAACGCGUGGGUAACCUGCCCCUGAAUCUGGAAUAACUUCGCGAAAGCGAGGCUAAUACUGGAUAUUGUCCCAGGGACCUCGGUCCUUGUGAUGAAAGAUGACCUCUUCACGAAAGUUGUCGUUCAGGGAGGGGCCCGCGUACCAUUAGCUAGUUGGUAGGGUAAUGGCCUACCAAGGCGAUGAUGGUUAGCUGGUCUGAGAGGAUGACCAGCCACACUGGCACUGAAACACGGGCCAGACUCCUACGGGUGGCAG
This 336-nucleotide ribosomal RNA is filed under the name uncultured Pseudomonadota bacterium. Its description in RNAcentral is "bacterial SSU rRNA". It matches the Rfam family "Bacterial small subunit ribosomal RNA", at positions 28 to 351 of the family's 1533-position model. The record is from RNAcentral. Lineage: Bacteria; Pseudomonadati; Pseudomonadota.